This 484-nucleotide long non-coding RNA is filed under the name Anser brachyrhynchus (Pink-footed goose). RNAcentral describes it as "lncRNA (ENSABRG00000022235.1)". The record is from RNAcentral. Lineage: Eukaryota; Metazoa; Chordata; Aves; Anseriformes; Anatidae.
UCCUUUAUUAACUAGUUUUAUGAUGAUUUGCUAAAGAAAUCUGGUUUCUGUAAUUAUGCUAGAUGUCCAUUCAUCUGUCUGUCAACUCCUUCUCUGGGAGCCUUUGAAUCUGCUUAGUGUGACAGCAGGGCAGACGCCAGACAACUUUGCUGCUAUCAAUGCACACAAAAACGUGCCCAGCUAGCAUGCCCAUUGGAUGCUGGGUGGAUGCAGUGAGAUGCUUGGCUGGUUCCUGACUUUCAGGAUAAAUACACAAUGGGAUGAAACCGACCUUCUUCCAGAAUACUCUUCCCAGACUGCUCACAUAUGUCAGUGAAACAAAGUGGUGCAUUUACCGAGGUAAAAAGAUGAUGCGCCAGAGGGCUGUAGGACAUGUUGCCUCCUCCCAUUGGGCUGCAGGUACCUGCUGCAAGACAUGCUCAUCACUUUACCGUCCCUUUCCUUAAAUAAUAAAUGUAAUUAGUGUUGCUUUUUCCUGGCCUAC